RNA transcript from Fragaria vesca subsp. vesca, 1019 nucleotides. It is a transcript of the gene named glyoxylate/hydroxypyruvate reductase HPR3-like, with no coding region annotated. NCBI's taxonomy places the organism in Eukaryota, Viridiplantae, Streptophyta, Magnoliopsida, Rosales, Rosaceae. The transcript is spliced from 3 exons. The record is from RefSeq and is a predicted model, not a curated record.
AUGGUUCAAAUCCUGGCUCCGCCCCUGCUCAAAGCAUGGGAGUCGCCACUCCCUCUCGAUCAGUUCUUGACCACCCAUGCACGCUCGGUGCGAGCCAUGUUUUGCUACUUUAACUUCACCCAGGUUAACGCCGAUCUCCUCCGCCUGCUACCGGCAUUGGAACUUGUGGUGACUCCCACUGUCGGUGUCAACCACAUCGACUUGACAGAGUGCAGGAGGCGUGGAAUAUCCGUAGCCAAUGCCGGAGCUGCAUACUCAGAAGAUGUUGCUGAUUGUGCUGUAGGUUUGUUCAUUGAUGUGCACAGAAGGCUUUCAGCUGCAGAUCUAUAUAUCAGACAACGGGGCAUCGGCACACCAGAUGAUCGUCGUAAUUUUCCUCUAACUGGUAGCAAGGUGGCAAGCGAGGGGAUUGUUGGAUUGGGAAGCAUCGGCUAUGAAGUCGCUAAAAGACUUGAGGCCUUUGGGUGCAGUAUCUCAUACAACACAAGGAGAGAAAAGCCAUGCGUAUCAUACCCCUUCUAUUCCGAUGUAUGUGAACUUGCAGCUAACAAUGAUUCCCGCAUCAUCUGUUGUGCCUUAACAGUCCAAACGCACCACCUCAUCAACAAGCAAGUCUUAUCGGCACUCGGAAGAGAUUGUCAACGUAGGGCGCGGGGCUGUCAUUGAUGAGAAGGAACUGGUGAGGUGUUUGGUGCACGGAGAGAUUAGAGGUGCUGGUUUGGAUGUGUUUGAGGAUGAGCCUCAUGUUCCUAAGGUGCUGUUUGGAUUAGACAACGUUGUUCUUUCCCCGCAUACAGCUGCUUUUACUCCUCAAUCUUUCCAGACUGAGAAUGAUGUGAUGGUGGCCAAUUUGGAAGCUUUCUUCUCUGAUCAACCUUUGGUUACUCCGUUCAUAGAUGACUAUUAUGCAUCAUACAUAUGAUCUGGGUUAUGUGGUUUGGUACAAGCCUCAAGUGUGGAUGAAAUUGGGCUAGCUUCUCUGGAAACGAUUGCUCUCUUCUUUUUUAAGGGUUAAGGUU